GACGAACGCUGGCGGCGUGCUUAACACAUGCAAGUCGAACGGAAAGGCCCUGCUUUUGUGGGGUGCUCGAGUGGCGAACGGGUGAGUAACACGUGAGUAACCUGCCCUUGACUUUGGGAUAACUUCAGGAAACUGGGGCUAAUACCGGAUAGGAGCUCCUGCUGCAUGGAGGGGGUUGGAAAGUUUCGGCGGUCGGGGAUGGACUCGCGGCUUAUCAGCUUGUUGGUGGGGUAGUGGCUUACCAAGGCUUUGACGGGUAGGCGGCAUGGGAGGGGGACCGGCCACAUGGGGACUGAGAGACGGCCCAGACUCCAACGGGAGGCAGCAGGGGGGAAUAUUGCACAAUGGGCGGAAGCCUGAUGCAGCAGCGCCGCGUGCGGGAUGACGGCCUUCGGGUUGUAAACCGCUUUCGCCUGUGACGAAGCGUGAGUGACGGUAAUGGGUAAAGAAGCACCGGCUAACUACGUG
This 468-nucleotide ribosomal RNA is filed under the name uncultured bacterium. RNAcentral describes it as "partial 16S ribosomal RNA". It matches the Rfam family "Bacterial small subunit ribosomal RNA", at positions 28 to 507 of the family's 1533-position model. The record is from RNAcentral.